Molecule: long non-coding RNA, 1005 nt
Organism: Drosophila ficusphila
Lineage: Eukaryota; Metazoa; Arthropoda; Insecta; Diptera; Drosophilidae
Exons: 2
Source: RefSeq, a predicted model, not a curated record
CGAAACUAGAAACUAUAAUUCAGAAGUUGAAAAAAUGUUACAAAUUAUAAUCCUUGCAACUGUUUUGCUAUUUAAUGCACAUUCAGGAAAUUGCAAACCGACAACUAUAAAAACUAUACAAUUUAAUUAUACCUUGCCAAACAACGAUGUUAUAAAAAUAGACCUCACAUUCGAGUUUCUCAAUAAGGAAUCAAAAACGGAUGUUGAACUGUUUGAUUUGACAACGAUGUCUUCCCCAACAACAACAACAACAACAACAUUAUCGUCAACGACAGCAAAAACAACUACAACUACAUCAACGAUACUGGAAACGAGGUCAAAAAAGAGCGGAGAGCCAUCGCCACCACCACAACAACCGACAACAGAAAGCUCAAUAGAAGAAAUUUACAGUGACAGUUAUGAGCAAUUUACUAGAGAGGAUGCGGUGAAAUCUUUUCAGGAGGCCUUAAUAGAAAAAGAACAAUAUAUCGGAGGAAUAAUAAACGCUACUACCCCAUUUUAUAGACAUUUUAACCUUAAAUAUAAAGAUACGGCUAUCUCAAUUCGUUGCUUAUAUGAAAGUAAUUAUGAAAAGAAGAUUCUAACAUUACAUUGCACUCAAUUUUAUGAAACAAAAAUAAUUGAACGGAUAUUAGACAACGGGGAAAUCGAACAAGUAGAAGUUAGAAAAAACCCCGAUAGCUUGGAAAAUGUCAUCAUUAAUGAUGACAUUAAUAACUACACUCAAAUGUUACAUAUGAAAAUCAAUUGAGCAAUGUGGAGCUCAAUAAAUAAUUGACACUUUAAUUUUUGUAAUCAUAUUUUAUGUACUCCUAUAUUUCAAAUAUAUUUUAUGUACUCCUAUAUUUCAAAUAUAUUUUAUGUACUCCUAUAUUUCAAAUACAAAUUAUGUACUCCUAUAUUUCAAAUAAAAAUUAUAAUCGCACAUAUUGUAUGUAAAAAAACAACUAUAUGUAUGUUCACUAUAUUUCAAAUAAAAAAUAAAUAAAAUGAUGAGCGCACAUA